ACGUAGGAUCCGAGCGUUGUCCGGAAUUACUGGGUGUAAAGGGCGUGUAGGUGGGUCUUUAAGUCGGGGGUGAAAUCCUGCAGCUUAACUGCAGAACUGCUUCCGAUACUGAAGAUCUUGAGUACGGCAGAGGGAGAUGGAAUUCAUGGUGUAGCGGUGAAAUGUGUAGAUAUCAUGAAGAACACCGGUAGCGAAGGCGGUCUCCUGGUCCGUAACUGACACUGAGGCGCGAAAGCGUGGGGAGCAAACAGGAUUAGAUACCCUGGUAGUCCACGCCUUAAACGAUGGGUACUAGGUGCUGGGCCGCAAGGUUCAGUGCCAAAGCUAACGCAUUAAGUACCCCACCUGGGGAGUACGAUCGCAAGGUUG
Molecule: ribosomal RNA, 369 nt
Filed under: uncultured bacterium
Lineage: Bacteria
Description: bacterial SSU rRNA
Rfam family: Bacterial small subunit ribosomal RNA
Source: RNAcentral